GCAAUAUGAAGGUCAGGCUGAAGACCUUACCCGAUUAGCUGAGAGGUGGUGCAUGGCCGUCGUCAGUUCGUACUGUGAAGCAUCCUGUUAAGUCAGGCAACGAGCGAGACCCACGUCCACAGUUGCCAGCAUACCCUCCGGGGUGAUGGGUACACUGUGGAGACCGCCGCUGCUAAAGCGGAGGAAGGAGUGGGCAACGGUAGGUCAGUAUGCCCCGAAUCUCCCGGGCUACACGCGGGCUACAAUGGUUGGUACAAUGGGCAUCUACCCCGGAAGGGGAAGGAAAUCUCUUAAAGCCAAUCGUAGUUCGGAUUGAGGGCUGCAACUCGCCCUCAUGAAGCUGGAAUCCGUAGUAAUCGCGUUUCAACAGAACGCGGUGAAUACGUCCCUGCUCCUU
RNAcentral lists this ribosomal RNA (397 nucleotides) under uncultured Methanosaeta sp. RNAcentral's name for it is "bacterial SSU rRNA". It matches the Rfam family "Archaeal small subunit ribosomal RNA", at positions 942 to 1338 of the family's 1478-position model. Lineage: Archaea; Methanobacteriati; Methanobacteriota; Methanomicrobia; Methanotrichales; Methanotrichaceae. The record is from RNAcentral.